AGUGCGGAAGUGAGAGGCGAGCUCCAGCUCCCCGGAGUCGGUGCCUUUUAAGCUGGCUAGCCGUGUUCUUCGCUGGUCCGCGGAAGUCUGGCUCGGCUGCUGGAGGGGAGCUGGGCCUGCGGAGGCCCGGGCGUGGGGUUGGGCGUCUGCCUACGGAGCUCCCGCGGAGCCCCUGCAGGGUUGCAGGUGACUGGCUUUCUGGACUCUCCUUCACCCAGGCCCCUUAAGUGGCCAUGGAAGGAGCCUUAGCCGCGCUCUUAAACGGUCAUAGUUGUAUGCAAUUAGUAAAAUGUAGAUAGUCUAGUAUUGCAACCGCAGAGUUUGGGAUCUGGGGACGUUGAAGUGGCUUACGGGCAUUUCGAAGAAGGAAAUACUCUGCAUCUGGGUUUAGGCGGAUGUAUUAACGCUGCUUGUAUGCAUGGGCAUCAUUACUAGUGUUUCCAGGGGAGAAGUGGCCCAGAGGGACAGCCUCGCAUCCACGCUGCACUGAAUUAUAAACCUGUUGUGAAUGUGCGGAGGUCCUUUGUACCUAGGGUGUGAGAAUUGGGAAAUAUAAAAGAUACUGCGCAAUAUAUAUAAAAAUCCUUGACGUCAUAGAUCAAAGAUUGAGAAGAAUUUCCCCCCACAUUAACAACUGUUCUGCAAUAAUAAUUCAAACUAGCAGUUCCAUAACUCCCCACGUCUUUACUUGUUUUGGUUGACAAAGGGAGACUGUGGUCCUAAAUUUAGGAAAUUCCAGAAAUAUCGUUUAAAAUUUUUUAAUUCAUUGACAACUUUAUACAUGUACGGGCCGGGUUUUAUGUUAACUUGGCACAAGCUAGAAUCAUUUUGGAAGAGAGAACCUCAGUUGAGAAAUGUCCCCACCGGAUUGGCAUAUGGUGCGUUUUCUCCAUUGUUGAUUGAUGUGGCAGGGUCCAGUUUAUGGGCUUCAUGGUUCUUGGUGCUGUAAGAAAGUAGACUGAGCAAGCCACCACCAGAACAAAUAAGUAGCAGCUCCUCCAUUGCCUCUGUUUCAUCCUCUCUUCAGGUUCCUACCUUUACUUUUCCUGAGAGUGGACUACAAACUGUAAGAUGAGAUAAAAACCCUUUCCUCUCCAAGAUGCCUUUGUCUUGAUGUUUAUCACAGCAGUAGAAAUACUAACAAUCACGGAUGUAAUGUAUUUCUGUAACCCACACCCUAUCCUCCACUUAUUUCCUUCCACUUUCAACGUUUUAAAAAAAUUACCCAAUGAGCUUAAUUAGGGUUACAGACAUAAGCAUGGUAUGGGUGAUAUACUGGGCCAUGGUUACCAAAGAUUAGACGACCACCAAUCUAAAUGAUCAUGGCCAACUUAAUUAAGGCAAGUAAUUAAGCAGGCUUUUUAAAAUUUGUGUACAUGGGUUGCGGCUCCCUAAGGCAGGGUUUAAGGGGUCAGCAUUGGAUGUGGGGAAGAGGUUUUUAUAGCCAGGGUAAGGGGCUUCAAAUGGGAACUUUGGCAGAAAACCAGGAGGGGUUACAGAUGCAGAUCAUAACUAGUAGUCAUAACAACCUUUUGAAACAAAGGUAGGGUUGCAAGAUACUUGUAGUGGUUUGAAUGAAAAUGUCUCCCAUAGGCCCAUGGGGAGUGGCACUCUUAGGAGGUGUAGCCUUGAUGGAGUAGGUGUGGCUUUAUUGGAGUGAGUGUGACUCUGUUGAAGUGGGUGUGGCUUUGUUGGAAGAAGUGUGUCACUGGGGGUGGUCUUUGAGGUCUCAAAUGCUCAAGCCAGGCCCAGUGCCUGCCUCUCCCCAAACCCCCCUUACUGCUGCUGUACAUAGAUCCAUAUGUAAAAUUCUCAGCUUCUUCUCUAGCACCAUGUCUACCUACACGCCACCAUUCUUCCCACCACAGUGACAAUAGACUAAAACUCUGAAGUGUAAGCCAGCCCUAGUUAAGUGUGUCCUUAUAAGAGUUGCCACAGCUCUGGUGUCUGUUCACAGCAAUGGAAACUAACUAAGACAGUGCUCAUAACUGUUUAAAAACAAAGACGUGGUUGCUGUUUCGUGGAAUAGGCAGUGUAGUUAAGGUUACAGAUGAGGCUUAGCC
This 2063-nucleotide long non-coding RNA is filed under the name Mus musculus (house mouse). Its description in RNAcentral is "long non-coding RNA chr1:74817021-74819084". Lineage: Eukaryota; Metazoa; Chordata; Mammalia; Rodentia; Muridae. The record is from RNAcentral.